UGGCUCACACCAGGCUGGUAACGGGGGGUCUCUCUCCCCCACGGUGCGGGGUGCCCAGGACGGGGCCAUGCCCACCGGCUUCCCACCCCGAUGGCUUCUCGGUCCCCCCGGCUCCCCCAGCCCUGCUGGAAGCGUUGCGGCGCGGGAACUGGACGUCAGCCGAGCCGUCCCCCCGCUGCCGGUGCAGCGGGCCAGGGGCUCACAGGAUGCUGCCCGACUGCCCCGAGGGGGCCGGGGGGCUCCCACCACCCCAGGUGCAAAGGGGCACAGGCGACAUCCUGCAGAACCUGACGGGCAGGAACAUCUCUGACUACCUGGUGAAGACCUACCCCCAGAUCAUCCGCUGGGGGCUGAGGAACAAGAAGUGGGUGAAUGAGCAGAGGUGAGCCCGGGGAGGGGCUGGGGUCUCAAGCAGACGGGGCAGGGGGAAGGCAGGAUCUCGCCUGUGGGCUUGG
RNAcentral lists this long non-coding RNA (455 nucleotides) under Aquila chrysaetos chrysaetos. Its description in RNAcentral is "lncRNA (ENSACCG00020003629.1)". The record is from RNAcentral. Lineage: Eukaryota; Metazoa; Chordata; Aves; Accipitriformes; Accipitridae.